UACGUAGGGUGCAAGCGUUGUCCGGAAUUAUUGGGCGUAAAGAGCUUGUAGGCGGUUUGUCGCGUCUGCUGUGAAAUUUCGGGGCUCAACCCCGAACUUGCAGUGGGUACGGGCAGACUAGAGUGUGGUAGGGGAGACUGGAAUUCCUGGUGUAGCGGUGAAAUGCGCAGAUAUCAGGAGGAACACCGAUGGCGAAGGCAGGUCUCUGGGCAUUAACUGACGCUGAGGAGCGAAAGCGUGGGGAGCGAACAGG
RNAcentral lists this ribosomal RNA (253 nucleotides) under uncultured bacterium. Its description in RNAcentral is "partial 16S ribosomal RNA". It matches the Rfam family "Bacterial small subunit ribosomal RNA", at positions 524 to 776 of the family's 1533-position model. The record is from RNAcentral.